This 672-nucleotide non-coding RNA is filed under the name Pongo abelii (Sumatran orangutan). The record is from RNAcentral. Lineage: Eukaryota; Metazoa; Chordata; Mammalia; Primates; Hominidae.
GGCACCAUUCAUUCAUGCAGGCUGUCCUGACAAAACGCCAAGUUAGCAAAAUAAGAUCACACAGUCACUCUGCAUCACAGCUGGAGACUCUGAAUUUACAAGUAUCUUGCAUCAAAACGCUGCCUCAGAGAGAACAGAAAAUGAAAAUACAGAUUCCUGAAAUCAUACAAUAAGAGGGAUGAAACACAAAUGUUUCCUGUACAAACUUUCAGCAAGUUAACGGUUACCUUCACCAUUUUUCUAAGUUUUUUAGUCUAAUUACCAAAAUAGAGAAGAAGGCUGGGAUUCAGGGUGGAGGCCUUGCUGGAAAUAAAGAAAUGUGCAUCUGGCCGAGCUAUGCCUAGUCCUCUCUCUCAGGAACGGGGUUUUUCUGAAGAGAAAAACCUGGCCAGGCACGGUGGCCCAUGCCUGUAAUCCCAGCACUUAGGGAGGCCAAGGUGGGCAGAUCACCUGAAGUAGGAGUUCAAGACCAGCCGGGCCAACACGGAGAAACCCCAUCUCUAUACUAAAAAUUAAAAAAAAAAAAAUUAGCCGGGCGUGGUGGUGAGCACCUGUAAUCCCAGCUACUCGGAAGGCUGAGGCAAGAGUAUUGCUUGAACCCAGAAGUCAGAGGUUGCAGUGAGUGAAAAUCGUGCCACUGCACUCCAGCCUGGGCAACAGAGUGGUACUCCA